This 512-nucleotide ribosomal RNA is filed under the name uncultured bacterium. RNAcentral describes it as "partial 16S ribosomal RNA". It matches the Rfam family "Bacterial small subunit ribosomal RNA", at positions 28 to 507 of the family's 1533-position model. The record is from RNAcentral.
GAUGAACGCUGGCGGCGUGCCUAAUACAUGCAAGUCGAACGAAACUUCUUUAUCACCGAGUGCUUGCACUCACCGAUAAAGAGUUGAGUGGCGAACGGGUGAGUGACACGUGGGCAACCUGCCCAAAAGAGGGGGAUAACACUUGGAAACAGGUGCUAAUACCGCAUAACCAUAGUUACCGCAUGGUAACUAUGUAAAAGGUGGCUAUACUACCGCUUUUGGAUGGGCCCGCGGCGCAUUAGCUAGUUGGUAGGGUAAAGGCUUACCAAGGCAAUGAUGCGUAGCCGAAUUGAGAGGUUGAUCGGCCACAUUGGGACUGAGACACGGCCCAAACUCCUACGGGAGGCAGCAGUAGGGAAUCUUCCACAAUGGGCGAAAGCCUGAUGGAGCAACGCCGCGUGGGUGAAGAAGGUCUUCGGAUCGUAAAACCCUGUUGUUAGAGAAGAAAGUGCGUGAGAGUAACUGUUCACGUUUCGACGGUAUCUAACCAGAAAGCCACGGCUAACUACGUG